This is a long non-coding RNA of Myotis lucifugus (little brown bat), 1261 nucleotides long. RefSeq lists it as uncharacterized. NCBI's taxonomy places the organism in Eukaryota, Metazoa, Chordata, Mammalia, Chiroptera, Vespertilionidae. The transcript has 2 exons. The record is from RefSeq and is a predicted model, not a curated record.
UACCCAGGUUUGACCAGCAGGCGGAGGGCAGAGCUGGGAUUCAGACUCAGGUCUUUGGCCGCCUCACAGGUGCGCCUCGGAGCCCCAGCUGUGACCUGGCCUGGCCCGUCCCCCCUGUGGCCGUGGGAGCCAGACAGUGAGUGCUCUCUCCCCUACAGGCUUCAUCCCCCCUCCUCUCAUCUUCGGAGCUGGCAUCGACUCCACCUGCCUGUUCUGGAGCACGUUCUGUGGGGAGCAGGGCGCCUGCGUCCUCUACGACAACGUGGUCUACCGCCACCUGUACGUCAGCAUCGCCAUCGCGCUCAAGUCCUUCGCCUUCCUGCUCUACACCACCACCUGGCAGUGCCUGCGGAAGAACUACAAACGCUACAUCAAGAACCACGAGGGCGGCCUGAGCACCAAGCCAGACGGCAUUCAGAAUGAGGAGAGCUUGGGACCACGUGUCUGACGCGUGACCUACCCGCUCUGGGAUCCAGCGCGGGGUCUCAGGAUGCCGACAGCUGCAAGCAACGGGCACUGCCAAGUUCAGGGAACCGUGGUGGCCAGCUCGGAGGACGGACAUUCCUGAACACACAUACAGCAUACAGACAAAAGACAACUAUUUUUAAAGAAAGUCUACUAAAACCACACGUUGACAACAUGGCCAGGAAAAGCACUAGUGACACCCCGAGCCCCUCCUCCCGUGGGGGCGGGGGGCGUGCAGGCGGGAGGGCAGCCCCCCCUCUCUAACUUUCGCAAUAUGGGUCACUGUGUAGACGCCUCACCCGGUCUGCAUGUGGUUCAAGGCCCGAGCUCUCUCAGCGAUGCUAACGGGUGAUCCGUGCUGGAGUCUGUAAUUGGCACCUCUCACCAGCUCCAUUUCCAUGUUCACGACCGAGGGCCCGAGGGGCCGGGUGCAGGGCCAGCACCUCACCUGCCCCCGGAGCGCCUCCCAGGGGCGGGGCCCAGCCCCGCAGAGCGACCUCAGGAAGCAGGGGCCUCACUGGCUAUGACUGGCUCCUCUCAGAGCCGGUGAAACCCAACCCAGCCCAAGUCAUUUGCUUACAUUUGCCAAACAUUUUGCCAUUUUUUAAAAAAAAUAAUGCAAUGCCUAUGAAUUUCCAACUGUUGUAUGUAUAACCCUCUGAUACUAUUUUUAACGACUGAACCUGUGUUACCCUCCAGUCACUGACACAGUUCUUAGGCCGGAUUUCCUACGCUGGUGGCUUUCACUUUCUCCCUUUUUUAAUGCACCAAAAAUACAAUGUGAUUCAAGGGAUGA